This is a long non-coding RNA of Mauremys reevesii (Reeves's turtle), 1570 nucleotides long. RefSeq lists it as uncharacterized. The record is from RefSeq and is a predicted model, not a curated record. NCBI's taxonomy places the organism in Eukaryota, Metazoa, Chordata, Testudines, Geoemydidae. The transcript has 2 exons.
GAAAUCCAAGGCUAGUCAGAAACUAGAACAGCCCAGCCCUGGGGGAAGUGUGAUUGGAUGAUCAGAUAGACACUCCCUGGGGAAUUUGGACAGAGGUUGAAGGGAAGUAGCAUUGCCUUGAGUAAUUGUUGGAUAAAUGACCAAUGACUGUCUUAUUGGCCCAUGUAAUGGGAAAUAGACUACAGGCCACGUCCUCAGCUGGUGGAUAUCCGUGUAGCUCCACUGAUUUCAAUGGAAAUACAUUGCUUCAUGCCAGCUGCCCGACAUCUCUGAGACAAAGCCCUUGUAAAUAACAGGGAUUAGAACCUGAUCCGUAAAGGCACUGUGGGUCCUUGCCUCACAAUGGGAGCCCGGGGGUUGAUCAGACUCUAUCCAUGUUGGCUGCUACCAUAAUUGAGCAUGGGUGCUGGUAGCAGGAUUGCAGCACAACUUCCCUUGACCAAGGAUUGCUGCUUAUAAAUAACCAUGUUAAAUCAUGCUUCAGGCUAUCCAUCGCCCGGGGGGGACUACAGUCAGAAGGAACCAUCUAUUCUUUCUCUUCUGUCCCUCAGCUUAAUUCUAAUCCAUGGUGGUGCUUUGCCUAUGAUUCCAUCAUCACUACUUAGUUUUCUUAAUAGCUUUGUGUGAGAGCUUUUGCCAAAGGCUUUUUGAGGCCCAUUGAUAAAUUGUAGGAUUGUGACAUCAGAGCUAUGUCAUCUAACAGUCUGGCUUCAUUGCCCUGAUCUAUUGACAUGAAAGUCAGUGGUGCAGAGUACAAUGGCUGGCUGGCUGGGCCUGAUUUAAGUUAACUGCCUCAGGUACAUCAGGAACUUGGAAAGAGCCAAUGACCAACUGACUGAGGAAAUAAAGGGAAUGUAUCUCCAGAUUUCUGCAUGUCAGGAUUACAAAUCUUUUCAAGAAGGAGAGAGAUCAGGUAUGGGAAAUGUAACGUCUGAAAUCCAGAAGUGCUUGAAACAACUUCAUAACAAGCUGGAGAUUGCAGAGCAGCAGCAGAAAGAGGAAAAAUGCCAGGCAUCCAAGUUAAGGCAUGUGCUGGAAGGAUUUAAGCAAAUCUGGGAGGUUCAGAAAAAUGCCAUAAUCCAGCUGAAAGGAUAACUGGAAAAUUCAGUGCAGGAGACCGGAAAAUGAAGAUAGAGCCCAGGUUCGUUCGUUGUUGCAUAAAAUUGUGGAAGCAAAGCUGGUGCAGAUUCACUGGACAAGAGAGACUAUCUCAAUUGCCUUUCAAAAGGUGUCUAGUUUGUAUUCCCCUUGGUCCUAUGCUUUGAAUGUAUGACCACAUCAGUCAUGCUAUAUAUCUUUAUAUUCAGCAAAGAUUUUAAGUCUGUCAGUCAUCAACUGCUGUUUUCUGACCAAAAUCUUGAGUUUGCUGAGAAACCUGUCUCCAUAUGCUAUCUGGAAAUAGGAUGGCCUGUGGCCAUUUUAAAGUCAGCUGUGCAGCCUCUCUUCCAUCUCUUCAUAUCAGCUAAAUUAACCCUCCUUCAAAUGCCUGGAUUGUUUGUUUCUUCUUGAUGUAUCAGCUCAAUCGUUUUUUAAAAAACGCUUCUUUAAAAUAAAAUCCAAAUAAUUUGUC